CAGCAGGAGCCGCGAGAGCCUKGGGGCGGUGACUGCCCGGAGACGCACCGGAGCCAGGCGAUGGAGGCUUCAAAGGCUGGGCUGAACUUAGCUUUGCGUGGAAGCACCUACCACCCAGGCACAGCGCUGCGCGCCGAGCUUCUGGCACGGAUGCGCCCAGGCUGAGAGCAUGGCAGCAGCCUCUGUGCCUGUUGAUGGCUGAAGAAACCCGGUAAUGACCCAGACUAACCAUCACUUCCAGCUGGUCGAGUCCUGCGGAUGCCAGAUACGCUGUCUCGCCAAAGCAGGAGCUCCCCGCAGCUGUGCACGCUCCGCAGGCCCUGUCCCUGCUGCAAGCCCUCACACRUAUCCGACACGGACAGAGGAAUAGGAGGGUCAACACGGAGUUUCAGUGUGUCAGGUCUGUGUUGUAAGAACCGUGGCAUUUGCAUGCUGGCCUGCAACUCCGCUUUAUUAUGUCUCAUAAAACMCUAUUCCAUGAACAGUGUCCUGUGGAAGCAAAGACACAAAUAACAGUCAUUGCGAUAUGACCACAUGUUGUCCAAAGCCCGUAGCGGGAUGCCGUGUGGCGGCMCUCAGCCGCUGAGUGGCUGUGGCUGGACCGGUAAAGCACUGGCAUGAGAGGGCUGCAGGCCCAUCCUCAUCCUCCUGAGCACGCGAGGCAGGGCCAGGCAGCCUGGGUGCCAGCCCCCUGCCACCACCUCUGCAGGGACGUCAUGGGCCCGUGCCAGACGUCUCUGGAGWCUCCCUAAGGCAGGGUGGGGACGUGUUUCUGGGCAGGAUGCUGCACACUCARCUUAAGGACUCGGAUCAAUUCCUCCUUGAAAGCCUCUCUCCAUCUUCUUCUCCAUAACUUACGUUCCCUUAUAGAAGAAACUCGYGGAAAGCUGCGGGUUCAGCUCUCCGUGUGUUAACGGCUACCUUGCUAAGCUCCUUAYAGCAAGGGUAGGAUGCAGGUCAGCGUUGCCGCCUCUUGAGCGCAAAG
RNAcentral lists this long non-coding RNA (985 nucleotides) under Dromaius novaehollandiae (emu). RNAcentral describes it as "lncRNA (ENSDNVG00000005861.1)". Lineage: Eukaryota; Metazoa; Chordata; Aves; Casuariiformes; Dromaiidae. The record is from RNAcentral.